CGAUGGUUGUCGUCAGCUCGUGUCGUGAGAUGUUGGGUUAAGUCCGCAACGAGCGCAACCCUUAUUGCUAGUUACCAUCAUUAAGUUUGGGGACUCUAGCGAGACUGCCAGUGAUAAACUGGAGGAAGGUGGGGGAUGACGUCAAAUCAUCAUGCCCCUUAUGACCUGGGCUACAAACGUGAUACAAUGGCUGAAACAAAGGGCAGCGAAGCAGUGAUGUGGAGCGAAACCCAAAAAAGCAGUCUCAGUUCGGAUUGAAGUCUGCAACUCGACUUCAUGAAGUUGGAAUCGCUAGUAAUCGUAGAUCAGAACGCUACGGUGAAUACGUUCCCGGGCCUU
This 339-nucleotide ribosomal RNA is filed under the name uncultured Acholeplasma sp. RNAcentral's name for it is "bacterial SSU rRNA". It matches the Rfam family "Bacterial small subunit ribosomal RNA", at positions 1042 to 1382 of the family's 1533-position model. Lineage: Bacteria; Bacillati; Mycoplasmatota; Mollicutes; Acholeplasmatales; Acholeplasmataceae. The record is from RNAcentral.